RNAcentral lists this ribosomal RNA (482 nucleotides) under uncultured bacterium. RNAcentral describes it as "bacterial SSU rRNA". It matches the Rfam family "Bacterial small subunit ribosomal RNA", at positions 28 to 507 of the family's 1533-position model. The record is from RNAcentral.
GAUGAACGCUGGCGGCGUGCCUAACACAUGCAAGUCGAACGAAGCACUUUUUUACGAUCCCUUCGGGGUGACGAAUUUGUGACUGAGUGGCGGACGGGUGAGUAACGCGUGGGUAACCUGCCUUAUACAGGGGGAUAACAGUUGGAAACGGCUGCUAAUACCGCAUAAGCGCACAGGGUCGCAUGACCUGGUGUGAAAAACUCCGGUGGUAUGGGAUGGCCUCGCGUCUGAUUAGAUAGUUGGUGAGGUAACGGCCCACCAAGUCGACGAUCAGUAGCCGGACUGAGAGGUUGAACGGCCACAUUGGGACUGAGAUACGGCCCAGACUCCUACGGGAGGCAGCAGUGGGGAAUAUUGGGCAAUGGGCGAAAGCCUGACCCAGCAACGCCGCGUGAAGGAAGAAGGUCUUCGGAUUGUAAACUUCUUUAUGAGGGACGAAGGACGUGACGGUACCUCAUGAAUAAGCCACGGCUAACUACGUG